This 2918-nucleotide ribosomal RNA is filed under the name Acinetobacter baumannii. Its description in RNAcentral is "23S ribosomal RNA". It matches the Rfam family "Bacterial large subunit ribosomal RNA". The record is from RNAcentral. Lineage: Bacteria; Pseudomonadati; Pseudomonadota; Gammaproteobacteria; Moraxellales; Moraxellaceae.
GUUGUAUAGUCAAGUAAUUAAGUGCAUGUGGUGGAUGCCUUGGCAGUCAGAGGCGAUGAAAGACGUGAUAGCCUGCGAAAAGCUCCGGGGAGGCGGCAAAUAUCCUUUGAUCCGGAGAUGUCUGAAUGGGGGAACCCACCUACUUUAAGGUAGGUAUUGCAACAUGAAUACAUAGUGUUGCAAGGCGAACGAGGGGAAGUGAAACAUCUCAGUACCCUUAGGAAAAGAAAUCAAUUGAGAUUCCCUCAGUAGCGGCGAGCGAACGGGGAUCAGCCCAUUAAGUUAUGUGUGUUUUAGUGGAACGCUCUGGGAAGUGCGAACGUAGAGGGUGAUAUUCCCGUACACGAAAGGGCACACAUAAUGAUGACGAGUAGGGCGAGGCACGUGAAACCUUGUCUGAAUAUGGGGGGACCAUCCUCCAAGGCUAAAUACUCCUGACUGACCGAUAGUGAACCAGUACCGUGAGGGAAAGGCGAAAAGAACCCCUGUGAGGGGAGUGAAAUAGAUCCUGAAACCGCAUGCAUACAAGCAGUGGGAGCACCUUCGUGGUGUGACUGCGUACCUUUUGUAUAAUGGGUCAGCGACUUAUAUUCAGUAGCAAGGUUAACCGUAUAGGGGAGCCGUAGAGAAAUCGAGUCUUAAUAGGGCGUUUAGUUGCUGGGUAUAGACCCGAAACCAGGCGAUCUAUCCAUGAGCAGGUUGAAGGUUGGGUAACACUAACUGGAGGACCGAACCCACUGUCGUUGAAAAGCCAGGGGAUGACUUGUGGAUAGGGGUGAAAGGCUAAUCAAGCCUGGUGAUAGCUGGUUCUCCCCGAAAGCUAUUUAGGUAGCGCCUCGGACGAAUACCAUAGGGGGUAGAGCACUGUUUCGGCUAGGGGGUCAUCCCGACUUACCAAACCGAUGCAAACUCCGAAUACCUAUGAGUACUAUCCGGGAGACAGACUGCGGGUGCUAACGUCCGUAGUCAAGAGGAAAACAAUCCAGACCGCCAGCUAAGGCCCCAAAAUCAUAGUUAAGUGGGAAACGAUGUGGGAAGGCAUAGACAGCUAGGAGGUUGGCUUAGAAGCAGCCACCCUUUAAAGAAAGCGUAAUAGCUCACUAGUCGAGUCGGCCUGCGCGGAAGAUGUAACGGGGCUAAAACUAUGUGCCGAAGCUGCGGAUGUAUACUUUGUAUACGUGGUAGGGGAGCGUUCUGUAAGCCGAUGAAGGUGUGUUGAGAAGCAUGCUGGAGGUAUCAGAAGUGCGAAUGCUGACGUGAGUAACGACAAAACGGGUGAAAAACCCGUUCGCCGAAAGACCAAGGGUUCCAGUCCAACGUUAAUCGGGGCUGGGUGAGUCGACCCCUAAGGCGAGGCCGAAAGGCGUAGUCGAUGGGAAAAUGGUUAAUAUUCCAUUACUUCUGUGUAAUGCGAUGAGAGGACGGAGAAGGCUAAAUCAGCCUGGCGUUGGUUGUCCAGGUGAAAGGAUGUAGGCAUGUAUCUUAGGCAAAUCCGGGGUACUCUAUGCUGAGAUCUGAUAGCAAGCUGUACUUGUACAGCGAAGUGGUUGAUGCCAUGCUUCCAGGAAAAGUCUCUAAGCUUCAGUUACACAGGAAUCGUACCCGAAACCGACACAGGUGGUCAGGUCGAGUAGACCAAGGCGCUUGAGAGAACUCUGCUGAAGGAACUAGGCAAAAUGGUACCGUAACUUCGGGAGAAGGUACGCUGUUGUUGGUGAUGGAACUUGCUUCCUGAGCUGACGACAGCCGCAGAAACCAGGCCGCUGCAACUGUUUAUUAAAAACAUAGCACUCUGCAAACACGAAAGUGGACGUAUAGGGUGUGAUGCCUGCCCGGUGCUGGAAGGUUAAUUGAUGGGGUUAGCGUAAGCGAAGCUCUUGAUCGAAGCCCCAGUAAACGGCGGCCGUAACUAUAACGGUCCUAAGGUAGCGAAAUUCCUUGUCGGGUAAGUUCCGACCUGCACGAAUGGCAUAAUGAUGGCGGCGCUGUCUCCAGCAGAGGCUCAGUGAAAUCGAAAUCGCUGUGAAGAUGCAGUGUACCCGCGGCUAGACGGAAAGACCCCGUGAACCUUUACUGCAGCUUGACACUGAACUUUGACCUUACUUGUGUAGGAUAGGUGGGAGGCUUUGAAGCUGGAACGCUAGUUCCAGUGGAGCCGUCCUUGAAAUACCACCCUGGUAAUGUUGAGGUUCUAACUCUGUCCCGUGAUCCGGGACGAGGACCGUGUCUGGUGGGUAGUUUGACUGGGGCGGUCUCCUCCUAAAGAGUAACGGAGGAGUACGAAGGUGCGCUCAGCGUGGUCGGAAAUCACGCGUAGAGUAUAAAGGCAAAAGCGCGCUUAACUGCGAGACCCACAAGUCGAGCAGGUACGAAAGUAGGUCUUAGUGAUCCGGUGGUUCUGUAUGGAAGGGCCAUCGCUCAACGGAUAAAAGGUACUCUGGGGAUAACAGGCUGAUACCGCCCAAGAGUUCAUAUCGACGGCGGUGUUUGGCACCUCGAUGUCGGCUCAUCUCAUCCUGGGGCUGAAGCAGGUCCCAAGGGUAUGGCUGUUCGCCAUUUAAAGAGGUACGCGAGCUGGGUUUAGAACGUCGUGAGACAGUUCGGUCCCUAUCUACCGUGGGCGCUGGAAAUUUGAGAGGAUCUGCUCCUAGUACGAGAGGACCAGAGUGGACGAACCUCUGGUGUACCGGUUGUGACGCCAGUCGCAUCGCCGGGUAGCUAUGUUCGGAAGGGAUAACCGCUGAAAGCAUCUAAGCGGGAAGCCUACCUCAAGAUAAGAUUUCCCUAGGACUUUAUGUCCUCUAAAGAGCCGUUCGAGACUAGGACGUUGAUAGGUUGGAUGUGGAAGCAUAGUGAUAUGUGAAGCUGACCAAUACUAAUUGCUCGUGAGGCUUGACUAUACAACACCCAAGCAGUUG